CACCCCUCUAAUCCACCAGCAGAGGACCCCGGCUCCUAGGACAGACUGCAGCCCACCCUCCUCCACCCCCCGCGCAACUUCAAGGACAAAGGCCAGAGAGGGAUCAUGGGGCGUUCCAGCUUCCACGCACCGCAAGCCUAGGGGACAAAGGCGGCCGGAGGACCCAGAGAGUCUGAAACCUGAAAAGGGAUCCCCCUGUCCCCAGCCCGCCCUCCUCCCCCAGCAGAGCCUGAGGGGGGCGCUGGCAGCAGGAAGCCGGGAAGGGCCCCGGAGGCGCACAGGCCCCACAGUGGAGCGCCUUGCGACCUUGGGUGACUGACAAGCAGGAUGCCUGGGUUCCGAUCCCCACCCCAGUCUGGCCGCCUCUCCCUGACCCUUAGCCCUACCGCUGCCUGCUGAUGUGUCCACCACCCUCAUUCUCGGUUAGUGCUCUCCCUCCCUCCCGUCGGGGCCAUCCAGGCUCUAUGAGACCAUACUAUUUUUUCCUUCUGCA
Molecule: long non-coding RNA, 493 nt
Filed under: Zalophus californianus (California sea lion)
Lineage: Eukaryota; Metazoa; Chordata; Mammalia; Carnivora; Otariidae
Description: lncRNA (ENSZCAG00015023404.1)
Source: RNAcentral